GGAUUACCAAGCAAUUGACACAAACAAAUAGGGUUACUAUCUAAUAAUCCAGCAAGAGAAGGACAACAUUGUUCAUCUGGCUUACUCAAUUUACUAUCUUGUUCAACAUAUGUCAAACAACUUGACAUGUUUACUAACACUGUCAUACAAUCCAUCCCACCCGAUGUCACCGGCCCUUCUGAACCUGGCGACAUCGACAUCGAUGGCGACUCUGCAGUCGCCAUCGGUGGCAUUGAUUGUGCCUUCGUGAACGGAGGCACGAUCGUCGAAAAU
This 273-nucleotide unclassified non-coding RNA is filed under the name Hevea brasiliensis (rubber tree). The record is from RNAcentral. Lineage: Eukaryota; Viridiplantae; Streptophyta; Magnoliopsida; Malpighiales; Euphorbiaceae.